CGACGACGACCGCCGCGUUCAUGUCCAUUUCCCACAACCUUAAAACCGGCGGCAUCUUGGUGUCCCCUUCUCUGCACCACCCUUCCUCAAGAUGGUGCAUAGAAGGGGACACCAUGAUGCCGAGAAGGGUAAAUAAUGUCCCACAACCUUA
RNAcentral lists this microRNA precursor (151 nucleotides) under Glycine max (soybean). RNAcentral describes it as "miR5043 stem-loop (gma-MIR5043)". The record is from miRBase by way of RNAcentral. Lineage: Eukaryota; Viridiplantae; Streptophyta; Magnoliopsida; Fabales; Fabaceae.